RNAcentral lists this ribosomal RNA (337 nucleotides) under uncultured bacterium. Its description in RNAcentral is "bacterial SSU rRNA". It matches the Rfam family "Bacterial small subunit ribosomal RNA", at positions 1158 to 1493 of the family's 1533-position model. The record is from RNAcentral.
AUAAGCCGAGAGGAAGGUGGGGAUGACGUCAAGUCCUCAUGGCCCUUACGGGCUGGGCUACACACGUGCUACAAUGGUGGUGACAGUGGGCAGCGAGACCGCGAGGUCGAGCUAAUCUCCAAAAGCCAUCUCAGUUCGGAUUGCACUCUGCAACUCGAGUGCAUGAAGUUGGAAUCGCUAGUAAUCGCAGAUCAGCAUGCUGCGGUGAAUACGUUCCCGGGCCUUGUACACACCGCCCGUCACACCAUGGGAGUUGGUUUUACCCGAAGGCCCUGCUCCAAGGCGCAAGGGAAGCAGGCGACCACGGUAGGGUCAGCGACUGGGUGAAGUCGUAACA